GCCCAGACUCCUACGGGAGGCAGCAGUGGGGGAUAUUGCACAAUGGGGGAAACCCUGAUGCAGCGACGCCGCGUGGGCGAAGAAGUAUUUCGGUAUGUAAAGCCCUAUCAGCAGGGAAGAAGAAAUGACGGUACCUGAGUAAGAAGCACCGGCUAAAUACGUGCCAGCAGCCGCGGUAAUACGUAUGGUGCAAGCGUUAUCCGGAUUUACUGGGUGUAAAGGGAGCGCAGGCGGCACGGCAAGCCUGAUGUGAAAGCCCGGGGCCCAACCCCGGGACUGCCCUUGGAACUGCAUGGCUGGAGUGCGGGAGGGGCAGGCGGAAUUCCUGGUGUAGCGGUGAAAUGCGUAGAUAUCAGGAGGAACACCGGCGGCGAAGGCGGCCUGCUGGACCGCGACUGACGUUGAGGCUCGAAAGCGUGGGGAGCGAACAGGAUUAGAUACCCUUGUA
This 448-nucleotide ribosomal RNA is filed under the name uncultured bacterium. Its description in RNAcentral is "bacterial SSU rRNA". It matches the Rfam family "Bacterial small subunit ribosomal RNA", at positions 329 to 792 of the family's 1533-position model. The record is from RNAcentral.